GGCCUGGCUGGGUGGUCUUGCCGCAAGGUAAGCACUGCUCUGGUCGGGUCUUUCCUUCUGGGGAGCCAAUGUGCUCUUAAUUGAGUGCGCAGGGGAUCCAGGACUUUUACUUUGAAAAAAUUAGAGUGUUCAAAGCAGGCCUACGCCCGAAUACAUUAGCAUGGAAUAAUAGAAUAGGAC
RNAcentral lists this ribosomal RNA (180 nucleotides) under uncultured Glomeromycotina. RNAcentral describes it as "partial small subunit ribosomal RNA". Lineage: Eukaryota; Fungi; Glomeromycota. The record is from RNAcentral.